UGAACCUUGGGAUUACUUGUCUAUAGUUCUGCCAGAGGCCUCUUCAGAUUGUGAUUGGUUGGGAACAAGUCACCAUGGAUGUGUUCUCAGGUUUCCAUCUUGCUGUCAUUGCACGAAAAAUGGAACCUAUCAAAUGUGUAGCAGAGAGGAAGUUUUUGAAUUCUAUAAAACUCUUCUGAGAUUGGAAUGACACACACUCACAAUUAAAACAAAAAAGGAUGACUCCAGGUAUACAAAAUAACUUUAGAGCUGUGGCAAAAUGAAGUCAGUAGGAUCUCCAUGGACAAUCAAAGGAAUCUUAGAGAAGAUCAACUACCAGGGGAGUCUUAGGAAACUUUAAGGGCAUUCCAAUAGAAGUUACAAGCUAAAGCAAAGACGUCACUGAGAACAAGAGAAAAUUAAAUCAAUGGAAGGAAGGCGGGGCUGUUGAAAGAGAAAGGAAUCUCUGUCCGCCACAAAGAGCUCCAUGUCCAAGCUGAUAUGCUCAAACUCAAGGAUUAUAGUGCCUGGCAAGCUAUGAGACUGGCCACAAGUUUUUUAGCUCAGUAUAACGAAGUUUCUGUUUUUUA
Molecule: long non-coding RNA, 569 nt
Organism: Condylura cristata (star-nosed mole)
Lineage: Eukaryota; Metazoa; Chordata; Mammalia; Eulipotyphla; Talpidae
Exons: 3
Source: RefSeq, a predicted model, not a curated record